This 468-nucleotide long non-coding RNA is filed under the name Zonotrichia albicollis (white-throated sparrow). RNAcentral describes it as "lncRNA (ENSZALG00000001160.1)". The record is from RNAcentral. Lineage: Eukaryota; Metazoa; Chordata; Aves; Passeriformes; Passerellidae.
AUUACAUUAAAACUAUACUAAAAGAAUAGAAGAGAGGAUUUCAUCAGAAGGUUAGCUAAGAAUAGAAAAGCAAAGAAUGAUAACAAAGGUUUGUGGCUUGGGCUCUCUGUUUGAGCCAGCUGACUGUGAUUGACCAUUAAUUACAAACAACCGCACGAGACCAAUCACAGAUGCACCUGUUGCAUUCCCCAGCAGCAGAUAAUCAUUGUUUACAUUUUGUUCCUGAGGCUUUUCAGCUUCUCAGGAGGAAAAAUCUUAAGGAAAGGAUUUUGCAUGGAAUAUGUCUGUGACACCCAUCUCCCACCUGCACCUCCAAUGGGUCCACAGAGGGUGAGAAAUAGUGUGCACAAGAAACUGAAACACAGGAAGAUGAUUAAGUGAUGCUCAUGGAAGAUUUCCAUUUUUCUAUGGAAAAGUAGAAGAGUGCAGGGGCAGAGAAGCAUGGAAAUAAAAUGCUGGAGCCAAGCA